GUCUAUGGCCAUGCCGCCCUGAAUAUGCCCGAUCUCGUCUGACCUCGGAAGCCAAGCAGGGUCAGGCCUGAUUAGUACUUGGAUGGGAGACCACCCAGGAAUACCAGGUGCUGUAGGCG
RNAcentral lists this ribosomal RNA (119 nucleotides) under Pteropus alecto (black flying fox). The record is from RNAcentral. Lineage: Eukaryota; Metazoa; Chordata; Mammalia; Chiroptera; Pteropodidae.